UUGCUCACAAGAAAGCUUAUCCUGCCAUGUGGCUGUGAUAAAUACUGUGGAAGCGUGAGCUAGAUCAUGGUAUUGCUUUGGGAGCGUCCAUUCCAGUUCAUAUGAGGCGCUACAGUUUUCAAUACAACA
RNAcentral lists this small nucleolar RNA (129 nucleotides) under Crocodylus porosus (Australian saltwater crocodile). RNAcentral describes it as "Small Cajal body specific RNA 23 (ENSCPRG00005001503.1)". The record is from RNAcentral. Lineage: Eukaryota; Metazoa; Chordata; Crocodylia; Crocodylidae.